This 64-nucleotide transfer RNA is filed under the name Ctenochauliodes punctulatus. Its description in RNAcentral is "tRNA-Gly". It matches the Rfam family "tRNA". Rfam says of the family: Transfer RNA (tRNA) molecules are approximately 80 nucleotides in length. Their secondary structure includes four short double-helical elements and three loops (D, anti-codon, and T loops). Further hydrogen bonds mediate the characteristic L-shaped molecular structure. tRNAs have two regions of fundamental functional importance: the anti-codon, which is responsible for specific mRNA codon recognition, and the 3' end, to which the tRNAs corresponding amino acid is attached (by aminoacyl-tRNA synthetases). tRNAs cope with the degeneracy of the genetic code in two manners: having more than one tRNA (with a specific anti-codon) for a particular amino acid; and 'wobble' base-pairing, i.e. permitting non-standard base-pairing at the 3rd anti-codon position. Lineage: Eukaryota; Metazoa; Arthropoda; Insecta; Megaloptera; Corydalidae. The record is from RNAcentral.
AUUUAUAUAGUAUAAAAAGUAUAUUUGACUUCCAAUCAAAAAGUCUAUCUAUUUAGUAUAAAUA